RNAcentral lists this ribosomal RNA (253 nucleotides) under uncultured bacterium. Its description in RNAcentral is "partial 16S ribosomal RNA". It matches the Rfam family "Bacterial small subunit ribosomal RNA", at positions 524 to 776 of the family's 1533-position model. The record is from RNAcentral.
UACAGAGGUCUCAAGCGUUGUUCGGAUUCAUUGGGCGUAAAGGGUGCGUAGGUGGCGGGGUAAGUCAGGUGUGAAAUCUCGAGGCUCAACCUCGAAACUGCACUUGAUACUGCCUUGCUCGAGUACUGGAGAGGAGAUUGGAAUUUACGGUGUAGCAGUGAAAUGCGUAGAUAUCAAGAGGAACACCUGAGGUGAAGACGGGUUGCUGGGCUGACACUGACGCUGAUGCGCGAAAGCCAGGGGAGCAAACGGG